This 381-nucleotide ribosomal RNA is filed under the name Gymnophora spiracularis. RNAcentral describes it as "partial 28S ribosomal RNA". It matches the Rfam family "Eukaryotic large subunit ribosomal RNA", at positions 1071 to 1415 of the family's 3401-position model. Lineage: Eukaryota; Metazoa; Arthropoda; Insecta; Diptera; Phoridae. The record is from RNAcentral.
GGGUAAGAACCUCACCUAUCUUGAUAUGUAGGUGGGGUUGUGAUAUAUUGUGCCCAGUGGGCCACUUUUGGUAAGCAGAACUGGCGCUGUGGGAUGAACCAAACGCAAUGUUACGGUGCCAAAAUUUACAACUCAUGCAGAUACCAUGAAAGGCGUUGCUUGCUUAAAACAGCAGGACGGUGGACAUGGAAGUCGUAAUCCGCUAAGGAGUGUGUAACAACUCACCUGCCGAAGCAACUAGCCCUUAAAAUGGAUGGCGCUUAAGUUGUAUACCUAUACAUUGCCGCUAAUGCAGAUGAUUUAUAUGAAAUUUCGGUUUCAUAUUAAAUUUUGAAGCAUUAGUGAGUAGGAGGGUACAAUGGUGUGCCUANAAGUGUUUGG